RNAcentral lists this microRNA precursor (91 nucleotides) under Nicotiana sylvestris (wood tobacco). Its description in RNAcentral is "MIR6152 microRNA precursor family". It matches the Rfam family "MIR6152 microRNA precursor family". Lineage: Eukaryota; Viridiplantae; Streptophyta; Magnoliopsida; Solanales; Solanaceae. The record is from Rfam by way of RNAcentral.
UAGAGUGAAACAUGAUUGUAUUCACGGCGUGAAAUAGGGGAUUACACUGUUUUUAAAACGGAAAGUGAAUCAAUUAACAUAAUAGACUCUU